GAGACGGGGUUUCACGUUGUUGGUCAGGCUGGUCUCCAACUCCUGACCUCAAGUGAUCCACCCACCUCAGCCUCCCAAAGUGCUGGGAUUACAGGCAUGAGCCACCGCCCCGGCCUAUUUCUUCUGUAUUUUAAUCAGAUUUCAAACUUCAUACUGUAUCUUUUUCAAACUCCUGGGUUCAAAUGACCCUCCUGCCUCAGCCUCCCAAGUAGCUGGGACUAUAGGUUUGUGCCACCAUGCCUGGCUUAGAUUUUAAAGGACAAGAUAUUUCAUUUCAUCCUUUGUGAUAAUUUGUCCACACAGUACUUCAUAAAAGGCCUUUCCUCUCCACAAAAAAACUUGUCUUCCUUCCUUCUAAUUAUUAACACUGUGUGCUCCGUGGGGCUCCCAUUAUGUUGUAGGUAAUCAACUAGAAGACUAUAAGGUCCAUGAAGGCAGAGAAAAUGUGCCUGGAACUUAAGUGCUCAUUCACUGGAAUUAUUCACUAAUUUGUAUUUUUAAUAUACUCUCGGAAUUUAUAUAACAUAGCCUGUAUUUCUAGCUGCUGCUACCCCACAAUAAAAUUAUAUAAACUCUGACAUCAAAAACCAGUUUUUCUUUCCUUUCUUGGCCUUGUAAACAGGCAUUUGUCUAAGAGACUGUAUCUGGUACUAACAUAAAUUCCCCACUUCCCCGUUUCUGUUACAGACAUGUCAUGCUGCCCAAGGACAUAGCCAAGCUGGUCCCUAAAACCCAUUUGAUGUCUGAAUCUGAAUGGAGGAAUCUUGGCGUUCAGCAGAGUCAGGGAUGGGUCCAUUAUAUGAUCCAUGAACCAGAACCUCACAUCUUGCUGUUCCGGCGCCCACUACCCAAGAAACCAAAGAAAUGAAGCUGGCAAGCUACUUUUCAGCCUCAGGCUUUACACAGCUGUCCUUACUUCCUAACAUCUUUCUGAUAACAUUAUUAUGUUACCUUCUUGUUUCUCACUUUGAUAUUUAAAAGAUGUUCAAUACACUGUUUGAAUGUGCUGGUAACUGCUUUGCUUCUUGAGUAGAGCCACCACCACCACAGCCCAGCCAGAUGAGUGCUCUGUGGACCCAUAGCCUCAGCUCAGUGUGACCCCAGAAGCCACGAUGUGCUCUGUAUCCAGAACACACCUGGCAGAUGGAGGAAGCAUCUGAGUUUG
This 1165-nucleotide small RNA is filed under the name Pongo abelii (Sumatran orangutan). RNAcentral's name for it is "processed transcript". The record is from RNAcentral. Lineage: Eukaryota; Metazoa; Chordata; Mammalia; Primates; Hominidae.